This 1545-nucleotide long non-coding RNA is filed under the name Equus caballus (horse). RNAcentral describes it as "lncRNA (ENSECAG00000045384.1)". The record is from RNAcentral. Lineage: Eukaryota; Metazoa; Chordata; Mammalia; Perissodactyla; Equidae.
UUUUUUUUUUUUUCUGCUUUGUCUCCCCAAAUCCCCCUGGUACCUAGCUGUAUAUCUUAGUUGUGGGUCCUUCUAGUAUGGCAUGUGGGAUGCCACCUCAAUGUGGCCUGACGAGUGGUGCCAUGUCCGCGCCCAGGAUCCGAACCAGCGAAACCCUAGGCCACCACAGCCCAGCCCGAGAACUUAACCACUCGGCCCCAGGGCCAGCCCCUGGCUGUCUCUUUCAAAGCCAGCCCACUUGUCUCCAAGACUAGCACAAGCGAUCAUACAGAGGUGGGCAUGAAGGAGGGAGGUGGGCACCCCCCUGGACUUUUUCUGCUACUACAUGGCUGACACACAAGUAUUACCUUAUGUGUCCCCUCACUGUGGGCCACCCUAAAGCCGACUUUUCUAAUUAGAGAGAAUCUCAUUUCUUCAGCUGUCAUUGCACUCUGCUGAUGUCUCCCACAUCAACAUCUUGCCUCUAAACAUUUGCAACAGCCUUGAGGCACGUAGCAGUACAACUGAACAGUCAGUCCUAAACCAAACUCAUCCCUGUUCGUUAUUCCUGCCUCCACACCUCAUCCUGUUUCCUGAUGUCUGCUACGGCCAUCGGUCUAGCCCACUCUGCCUCCGAAGCCUUUGCCCUCUUUCCCCUGCAUUUCAUAACCACCAUGAAGCACUAUUGUUAGUCUUUUGAACUUUCUCCAUCCUACCUUCAGAGUUCUCUCUAGGGCCUCAUUCCAGCCACUCUCUCCACCAAAAAGACAAAACAAAACUAUUAAUGAAAGUCAUCUUGUCUCCCCAACUUUAGUUCAUUUUAUAUCCUCAUCCCAGAUUAAUAACCCUACAAUGUUUUACCAUGUGGCUACCCCAGUGUUUGCCACAAACUUUUCUGUUUCUCUUGAGGUUUUCUGUGACUUCUAGUCUUAACUGCUUUAUCUUCUAUUACUCACUAGAGCCUUCUCUAUUCAUUAAUUCAUUUAUCCCAUGUGUACAUGGCCUCCUGGUCUCCCCCUUGUUGGAAUGCUUUCCUCCUUCUUCUCUGCUAUCUGCAGGACAUAUAUUUUCAAGGUCCAGGUCUCACCAUCUAUGAGGAUAUUUUCCUAAUCCUUCCAGUCUAUAUCUUUACUCCGAGUUCUCCACCACAUUUUUCUUUUGGUGAGGAAGAUUGGCCCCGAGCUAACAUCUGUUGCCAAUCUUCUUCUUAUUGCUUGAGGAAGAUUGUCACUGAGCUCACAUCUGUGCCAAUCCUCCUCUACUUUUUGUAUGUGGGACGCUGCCACAGCAUAGCUUGAUGAGCAGUGUAUAGGUCUGCACUUGGGAUCUGAACCUGUGAACCCUGGACCUCCAAAGCAGAGCGCACAAACUUAACCACUAUGCCACAGGGCCAGCCCCUGCCACAUCUGUUUGACACGCAACCAUUCUAUCCUGUCUUACCAAUCUAGGGAUGUUUCCAACGUGUACUUUCCUCUUUUGACUAGAAUAUAUGUUGUUUGUGGUGAGGGAACUUGCCACUAGAGAGGGCUUUAAAAUUCGCAAAUGUGCUCUUGUCUCAAGAAAAAC